UUUUGACAGACACGGCUCGCGCACGUUUUUUUCUCCGCAUCCAUUCUCGGUCGGCAGUCGGCAGCCAGUUUUUAGAGGAUUUUGUUGUUUUUAAAUAUGUUUAUUCGAAGUGCCCCAUCUUCAGGGUGCAACGGCAAAAUAUAACAACAAUGCAAGAGUACGACCAUUCGUACGACAAGAAUUCCGGCACACCGGUGUCCUCCGCACAAAACGUCGUCGUCCAGCACAUCCCCCAGCAGCUGACGGUACCGCAACUGCUGGCCGGUGCUAUCGGGGUACAGCAGCAGAUCCAGGGGGAACCGUUGAAUGAGUCCGGCGGCUCAGCCAGUGGUGCCGGAACCAGCAAUGGAUGCCGGGAGCGAUCAUACGGAAUGCCGGAAUGAGACCUCAGACAAGCCCAGUGAAUAAUGGACAGUGAUUUAGUGUGUAAGUAAAGUGUUGAGGUUAUUAGAAUAAAUAACAAAAUUUAAGUAAA
Molecule: long non-coding RNA, 475 nt
Organism: Uranotaenia lowii
Lineage: Eukaryota; Metazoa; Arthropoda; Insecta; Diptera; Culicidae
Exons: 2
Source: RefSeq, a predicted model, not a curated record